CACCUGGUUGAUCCUGCCAGUAGUCAUAUGCUUGUCUCAAAGAUUAAGCCAUGCAUGUCUAAGUAUAAGCUUUAAACGGCGAAACUGCGAAUGGCUCAUUAAAACAGUUAUAGUUUAUUUGGUGAUCGAUUACUAUUUGGAUAACCGUAGUAAUUCUAGAGCUAAUACAUGCGUCAAGGCCCGACUUCGGAAGGGCUGCGUUUAUUAGAUACAGAACCAACCUAGGCUCCGCCUAGUCCUUGUUGGUGAUUCAUAAUAACCCGGCGAAUCGCACGGCUUGUCCGGCGAUGGACCCAUUCAAGUUUCUGACCUAUCAGCUAUGGACGGUAGGGUAUUGGCCUACCGUGGCGUUGACGGGUAACGGGGGAAUUAGGGUUCGAUUCCGGAGGAGGGAGCCUGAGAAACGGCUACC
RNAcentral lists this non-coding RNA (412 nucleotides) under Perkinsus marinus ATCC 50983. Its description in RNAcentral is "Eukaryotic small subunit ribosomal RNA". It matches the Rfam family "Eukaryotic small subunit ribosomal RNA", at positions 1 to 411 of the family's 1831-position model. Lineage: Eukaryota; Perkinsozoa; Perkinsida; Perkinsidae. The record is from Rfam by way of RNAcentral.